Molecule: ribosomal RNA, 425 nt
Filed under: uncultured bacterium
Lineage: Bacteria
Description: bacterial SSU rRNA
Rfam family: Bacterial small subunit ribosomal RNA
Source: RNAcentral
GUGGGGAAUAUUGCACAAUGGGGGAAACCCUGAUGCAGCAACGCCGCGUGAGUGAUGAAGGUCUUCGGAUUGUAAAACUCUGUCUUUGGGGACGAUAAUGACGGUACCCAAGGAGGAAGCCACGGCUAACUACGUGCCAGCAGCCGCGGUAAUACGUAGGUGGCAAGCGUUGUCCGGAUUUACUGGGCGUAAAGGGAGCGUAGGCGGAUUUUUAAGUGGGAUGUGAAAUACCCGGGCUUAACCUGGGUGCUGCAUUCCAAACUGGAAGUCUAGAGUACAGGAGGGGAAAGUGGAAUUCCUAGUGUAGCGGUGAAAUGCGUAGAGAUUAGGAAGAACACCGGUGGCGAAGGCGACUUUCUGGACUGUAACUGACGCUGAGGCUCGAAAGCGUGGGGAGCAAACAGGAUUAGAAACCCCAGUAGUCC